UUAUAUGACCGCCAGACUCAGGCAAGUAAACUAAGAUCUCGGAAAAGUAUUCUAAAAAAAUCAAGGUCCAUCCCCGAAGCGCCAGAGAUGCACUGAAUAUACCUACGGCAAGCGACAGCUACCACAACACAUUUUGCCCCUUCAGAGGGAAUGGCUGCUGUGUAAUGAUGACAGCAGAGCCCGUACGCGCCCUGACACCUGCGCAACCCGAUACCCCACUCAUUUCCACUUCUGCUCCGAGGCAUCCGAGGUAGGGCAGCCGAGAGCGUAUUUAAGGAGACUACCGAAUGAGAAUAAUCAGUCUUGCGUCGAUCAAGCUCUAGGCUCCCUAGCCAGCCAGUGUAGUGAACAGGGCCAUCUAUGUAGCCAACCAUUGGAAAUACAAAAUUUAAAGUUGUUGGUCCGGACAUGGAAAAGUCUCCUCAAACAGAAUCGUCCUAUUUGAAGAUAAGUUCCUGAAACACUAUAUUUAAUAGUUUUAAAUAGAUUAAGACAUUGUACAAUAAGAUGAUUAAUGCAAGUAAGACAUUAGGAAAUGAAAUGUGUGAUGGAAAUAUUGAUGAAGGGGAAACCAUGAUUGAAAUGAAUAUUAUAAUCAAUUUUGUUCAAUUAAAGAAUGUCAUUUA
Long non-coding RNA from Diabrotica virgifera virgifera (western corn rootworm), 626 nucleotides. RefSeq lists it as uncharacterized. NCBI's taxonomy places the organism in Eukaryota, Metazoa, Arthropoda, Insecta, Coleoptera, Chrysomelidae. The record is from RefSeq and is a predicted model, not a curated record. The transcript has 3 exons.